GGAUAACCUGCCCUUAGGUCUGGCAUAACCCCGGGAAACUGGGGAUAAUUCCGGAUAGAUCAUAGAUGCUGGAAUGCGCUUUGAUCCAAAGCUAUUGUGCCUAAGGAUGGGUCUGCGGUCUAUCAGGUUGUAGUGGGUGUAAUGUACCUACUAGCCUACGACGGAUACGGGUUGUGGGAGCAAGAGCCCGGAGAUGGAUUCUGAGACAUGAAUCCAGGCCCUACGGGGCGCAGCAGGCGCGAAAACUUUACAAUGCGGGAAACCGCGAUAAGGGGACACCGAGUGCCAGCAUCCUAUGUUGGCUGUCCAUAUGUCUAAAUCACAUGUGUUAGCAAGGGCCGGGCAAGACCGGUGCCAGCCGCCGCGGUAACACCGGCGGCCCGAGUGGUGGCCACUAUUAUUGGGUCUAAAGGGUCCGUAGCCGGUUUGGUCAGUCUUCCGGGAAAUCUGACGGCUCAACCGUUAGGCUUUCGGGGGAUACUACCAGGCUUGGGACCGGGAGAGGUAAGAGGUACUACGGGGGUAGGAGUGAAAUCUUGUAAUCCCUGUGGGACCACCAGUGGCGAAGGCGUCUUACCAGAACGGGUCCGACGGUGAGGGACGAAAGCUGGGGGCACGAACCGGAUUAGAUACCCGGGUAGUCCCAGCUGUAAACUAUGCUCGCUAGGUGUCAGGGACGGUGCGACCGUUUCUGGUGCCGCAGGGAAGCCGUGAAGCGAGCCACCUGGGAAGUACGGUCGCAAGGCUGAAACUUAAAGGAAUUGGCGGGGGAGCACUACAACGGGUGGAGCCUGCGGUUUAAUUGGACUCAACGCCGGAAAACUCACCGGGGGCGACAGCAAUAUGUAGGUCAAGCUAAAGACUUUACCAGAAUCGCUGAGAGGAGGUGCAUGGCCGUCGUCAGUUCGUACUGUGAAGCAUCCUGUUAAGUCAGGCAACGAGCGAGACCCGUGCCCACUGUUGCCAGCAUGUCCUUCGGGACGAUGGGUACUCUGUGGGGACCGCCGAUGCUAAAU
Molecule: ribosomal RNA, 1016 nt
Filed under: uncultured archaeon
Lineage: Archaea
Description: bacterial SSU rRNA
Rfam family: Archaeal small subunit ribosomal RNA
Source: RNAcentral